Long non-coding RNA from Pseudophryne corroboree (corroboree frog), 902 nucleotides. RefSeq lists it as uncharacterized. The transcript is spliced from 6 exons. NCBI's taxonomy places the organism in Eukaryota, Metazoa, Chordata, Amphibia, Anura, Myobatrachidae. The record is from RefSeq and is a predicted model, not a curated record.
GGGCUGGGUGCCUGAUGUCACCCGCGGUCCGCAGUGAUGAGGCUGCGGAGAUCCUCGCGGUCUGUGCCGCUGCUGCCUGCAAUGUCACCAAUGACAGAGCAGACAAGAGGCAACGAUACCACAAGCCGAGGGCUCCUGGACAGCUUGGCUGCAUAGGACUUUUCCCCUACCACCUAGAUUCUGCUCUCAGUCACCACAAGCAUCAGGCCCCAGAGACACCGGAAGGUAGGAGUUCUUUUCCAAAUCCUUCUGACCUGCAGGAAACCCAACACUGAUCAGCCAUGAGAAAAAACUGCAGCACAGGCCUCCAGCAUCUUGGACGUGUCAGAAGUUGAACUGUGCAGGUAGGAGCUCUUUUCCAAAUCCUUCUGACCUGCAGUUAACCCAACACUGAUCAGCCAUGAGAAAAAACUGCAGCACAGGCCUCCAGCAUCUUGGACGUGUCAGAAGUUGAACUGUGCAGGUAGGAGCUCUUUUCCAAAUCCAUCUGACCUGCAGGAAACCCAACACUGAUCAGCGAGGAGAAAAAACAGCAGCACAGGCCGCCAGCAUCUUGGAAGUGGCAGAAGUUGAACUAAGCAGACCCUCAUCAUGGAACGUCUUAAAGGGGAACCCCGCCUCCCCAUGCUGGAAAUCAGGAUUACCCAGACACCGUAGAAACAGAGAAUUGUGUCUCCCUAAAUUUCUGGACCUUCUCAAGGAGUGCCAGAGGCGAUAUACCGACCAUAGAAGAGGAUUAUCUUGUAGGUCCCGAUCACAAUCCCCCUCCAGGCAGUGGAGAAAGUUUGUUAAGUUUUUAGAUUUUAGGAACUGUGUCUCAAGUUGUGUGUUUGCAUAUGUGUCUGUGUCAUUUAACCAAUCUCUCAAAAACCUCAAUAAAGAUGCUUGGUUAUACAAUAAAA